GCCGUUUUGCAUCAGUGUCACUCUGCCCAAUUCAGAUUUCAAAAAAUAAAAUAAAAAUAUAUAUGUCAUUUAAAAAAAAAUCUCUAAUUCACAAAGUCUAAUUUUGCACCCAAGACCUAUCCCGGAUAAGAUAGAUACCAAAAGUUCUAGAUGGCCAUUUCUACAUAAACAGAGACAGAAAUUACCACGUUUGAUCAGAUAAUGAAUUGAAAUAUAAGUCAACUUAAUUUAGAUCAAAAUUUGAAUCCAUUGACAAAG
Molecule: unclassified non-coding RNA, 258 nt
Filed under: Hevea brasiliensis (rubber tree)
Lineage: Eukaryota; Viridiplantae; Streptophyta; Magnoliopsida; Malpighiales; Euphorbiaceae
Source: RNAcentral